CAAUGGGCGAAAGCCUGACGCAGCGACGCCGCGUGGGGGAUGAAGGCCUUCGGGUUGUAAACCUCUUUCAGCAGGGAAGAAGGGUGACUGACGGUACCUGCAGAAGAAGCACCGGCUAACUACGUGCCAGCAGCCGCGGUAAUACGUAGGGUGCAAGCGUUGUCCGGAAUUAUUGGGCGUAAAGAGCUCGUAGGCGGUUUGUCGCGUCUGCUGUGAAAACUCGGGGCUUAACUCCGGGCCUGCAGUGGGUACGGGCAGACUAGAGUGCGGUAGGGGAGACUGGAAUUCCUGGUGUAGCGGUGAAAUGCGCAGAUAUCAGGAGGAACACCGGUGGCGAAGGCGGGUCUCUGGGCCGUAACUGACGCUGAGGAGCGAAAGCGUGGGGAGCGAACAGGAUUAGAUACCCUGGUAGUCCACGCCGUAAACGUUGGGCGCUAGGUGGUGGGGCUUGUUUCCACGAGUUCCGUGCCGCAGCAAACGCAUUAAGCCGCCCCGCCGUGGGGAGUACGGCCGCAAGGACUA
This 522-nucleotide ribosomal RNA is filed under the name uncultured Actinomycetes bacterium. RNAcentral's name for it is "bacterial SSU rRNA". It matches the Rfam family "Bacterial small subunit ribosomal RNA", at positions 369 to 897 of the family's 1533-position model. Lineage: Bacteria; Bacillati; Actinomycetota; Actinomycetes. The record is from RNAcentral.